GUCAGAGGAAUUUAUCUCAUACCUGAGAUCUAAGAGAUCUUGGGAGGCUGAGACAGGAGGAUGGCUUGAGUCCAGGAGUGCUGGGCUAUAGUGCACUAUGCUGAUUGGGUAUUUGCACUAAGUUUGGCAUUAAUAUGGUGACCUCCGGGGCGUGGGGGGCCACCAGAUUGCCUAAGGAGGGGUGAACCAGCCCAGGUUAGACAUGGAGCAGGUCAAAACUCCCAUGCUGAUCAGUAGUAGGAUCGUGCCUGUGAAUAGCCACUGCACUCCAGCCACUGCACUCCAGGAACAUAGCAAGACCCCAUCUCUU
Molecule: non-coding RNA, 310 nt
Organism: Otolemur garnettii (small-eared galago)
Lineage: Eukaryota; Metazoa; Chordata; Mammalia; Primates; Galagidae
Source: Rfam